Molecule: ribosomal RNA, 253 nt
Filed under: uncultured bacterium
Lineage: Bacteria
Description: partial 16S ribosomal RNA
Rfam family: Bacterial small subunit ribosomal RNA
Source: RNAcentral
UACGUAGGGGGCAAGCGUUGUUCGGAUUCAUUGGGCGUAAAGGGUGCGUAGGCGGCGCGGUAAGUCGGGUGUGAAAUCUCGGGGCUUAACUCCGAAACUGCAUUCGAUACUGCGGUGCUUGAGGACUGGAGAGGAGACUGGAAUUCAUGGUGUAGCAGUGAAAUGCGUAGAGAUCAUGAGGAAGACCAGUGGCGAAGGCGGGUCUCUGGACAGUUCCUGACACUGAGACACGAAGGCCAGGGGAGCAAACGGG